RNAcentral lists this non-coding RNA (21 nucleotides) under Caenorhabditis elegans. Lineage: Eukaryota; Metazoa; Nematoda; Chromadorea; Rhabditida; Rhabditidae. The record is from RNAcentral.
UUUGUACUUGGGUUCCUAUAA